UUGACCUCGAAUCAGGUAGGAAUACCCGCUGAACUUAAGCAUAUCAAUAAGCGGAGGAAAAGAAACCAACAGGGAUUGCCCCAGUAACGGCGAGUGAAGCGGCAACAGCUCAAAUUUGAAAUCUGGCCCCCCGGGGCCCGAGUUGUAAUUUGCAGAGGAUGCUUUUGGCGAGGCGCCUUCCGAGUUCCCUGGAACGGGACGCCAUAGAGGGUGAGAGCCCCGUCUGGUCGGACGCCGAGCCUCUGUAAAGCUCCUUCGACGAGUCGAGUAGUUUGGGAAUGCUGCUCUAAAUGGGAGGUAUAUGUCUUCUAAAGCUAAAUACCGGCCAGAGACCGAUAGCGCACAAGUAGAGUGAUCGAAAGAUGAAAAGCACUUUGAAAAGAGGGUUAAACAGUACGUGAAAUUGUUGAAAGGGAAGCGCCUGUGACCAGACUUGCGCCCGUCGGAUCACCCAGCGUUCUCGCUGGUGCACUCCGGCGGGCGCAGGCCAGCAUCAGCUCGUCUCGGGGGACAAAGGCGGCGGGAACGUGGCUCCUCCGGGAGUGUUAUAGCCCGCCGCGCAAUGCCCUGGGGCGGGCUGAGGACCGCGCGUAAGCAUGGAUGCUGGCGUAAUGGUCAUCAGCGACCCGUCUUGAAACACGGACCAA
RNAcentral lists this ribosomal RNA (647 nucleotides) under Claviceps texensis. Its description in RNAcentral is "eukaryotic LSU rRNA". It matches the Rfam family "Eukaryotic large subunit ribosomal RNA", at positions 1 to 669 of the family's 3401-position model. Lineage: Eukaryota; Fungi; Ascomycota; Sordariomycetes; Hypocreales; Clavicipitaceae. The record is from RNAcentral.